This is a non-coding RNA of Ceratotherium simum simum (southern white rhinoceros), 94 nucleotides long. The record is from RefSeq and is a predicted model, not a curated record. Lineage: Eukaryota; Metazoa; Chordata; Mammalia; Perissodactyla; Rhinocerotidae.
CACAAAAUAAAAAGAUGUAAAAUAUGACAUCAAAAACAUAAAAGAAAAGGGUGAUAAAAACGUAGUGCUUUUAGAAUAAUUAAAAUUUAAGGGA